Molecule: long non-coding RNA, 1256 nt
Filed under: Panax ginseng (ginseng)
Lineage: Eukaryota; Viridiplantae; Streptophyta; Magnoliopsida; Apiales; Araliaceae
Description: long non-coding RNA (PGIN_LNC018006)
Source: RNAcentral
GUAUCUAGUGUAUAUAAAAAACACUGUUCAAACAAGAACAUAUCUGACUUUUACUACACGAGUUGACUCAUCUUUAUGCCCUUCAGACAUGUAAAAGCCAUGAAAAUGCAGAAGGAAUCACAAUUAACACAAAUCUUGGUGAUAAAAUUAUCAUUAUCACUAUGUAAUACAUGUACCAACUUUUUGAGUCCAACAUGCCUAAGCAAUGAUUAUUAUGAUUUAUUAGGCUGAAAACUCGAUGAACUAUCGAUAAUCUUCCACGUAUCGCCUGUUUAAACCACCUAAUAAUGAUUCAAUGGUGUCCCCAUGAAUAUAUAGGGAAGGAGAACAUGCACCACCUGCAGCAAACAUUACCUUCACCACUCUUUUUUCCUGCAAUUUUCUACUAGUAUGACCUUUUGGUGGGAUGCUUCUUUCCAUUGUCAGCCUUUCCCAAAGGAGAAUGUUAUGAUAACAUUGUCUAUAUAUUUUUGUAAAAAAAACAGAAGGAAAAAAAAAGAAAAAAAGAAAAGGGUUCUUUAUCAUUUCAUUUGUUUUUAUUUAUAUAUCAGAUCUGUUUACUUUCUCUAAUUAAAGUUAUCACUAGUGGGCAUUAGCUGCCACAAACUUCCCAUCAAAUGCUUCUCUUCUUGAGAUCAUAUUCUUCUUGAUUAACUUAAUUAAUCAGAUAUUCCCAUCAAAUGCUUCUCUUCUUGAGUCCAUUUCACUGAUCAUAAGAUAUUCCCGAAUGACAGGUCCUGUUGGGAUCAAUAUCCAUCAUCAUCAAAAAUCAGCGGUUAAGGACUUGAUAUGCCAUGCCAUCGACUUGAUAUGUCGUAUUACCUAAAUUAAUGUCGGUUAUGGAUAUCAAAUCACCAUUUUCAUAUCUAGAUAAUAACAAUUCGUACACGAUUUAGGAUAAACAUGAGCUGCUAAGAGGGUUCCAGUUCAUUGACAGCAACUCUUGCCACAAAGGGUGUUAACUUGUUUUGUGUAGUCAGCUUAGGUUUUGGGAGAAGUAGACUGCAUAAAGGUCUAACCUUUAAUUAGAGUUAAUCACAAUUUUAACAAAGUGAUUAUGCUUGGUGCCAGAACAAACUAUGACAAACACAAAAAAUCAACAACGAAAAUAGAAGACAACAACACGAUUUACGUGAAAAGAUCAAAUAGGAAAAACCACGACCGAGAGCAAUAAGAUAUUGAUAUAUCAAAGUGUGAAGAGUGCAAGUUGUGAAUUUCUAUAAAAAAAGGGCUAGAAAAUUGAGAAGGAUAAGAAC